Molecule: ribosomal RNA, 468 nt
Filed under: uncultured bacterium
Lineage: Bacteria
Description: partial 16S ribosomal RNA
Rfam family: Bacterial small subunit ribosomal RNA
Source: RNAcentral
GACGAACGCUGGCGGCGUGCUUAACACAUGCAAGUCGAACGGAAAGGCCCUGCUUUUGUGGGGUGCUCGAGUGGCGAACGGGUGAGUAACACGUGAGUAACCUGCCCUUGACUUUGGGAUAACUUCAGGAAACUGGGGCUAAUACCGGAUAGGAGCUCCUGCUGCAUGGUGGGGGUUGGAAAGUUUCGGCGGUUGGGGCUGGACUCGCGGCUUAUCAGCUUGUUGGUGGGGUAGUGGCUUACCAAGGCUUUGACGGGUAGCCGGCCUGAGAGGGUGACCGGCCACAUUGGGACUGAGAUACGGACCAGACUCCUACGGGAGGCAGCAGUGGGGAAUAUUGCACAGUGGGCGGAAGCCUGAUGCAGCAACGCCGCGUGCGGGAUGACGGCCUUCGGGUUGUAAACCGCUUUCGCCUGUGACGAAGCGUGAGUGACGGUAAUGGGUAAAGAAGCACCGGCUAACUACGUG